This 28-nucleotide small RNA is filed under the name Bombyx mori (domestic silkworm). RNAcentral's name for it is "ovarian small RNA-18194". The record is from RNAcentral. Lineage: Eukaryota; Metazoa; Arthropoda; Insecta; Lepidoptera; Bombycidae.
UAAACGGAUUCGAUGACGAUCGGCUGGU